GAUGAACGCUGGCGGCGUGCCUAAUACAUGCAAGUCGAGCGGACAGACGAGCAGAUUGCUCCUCUGACGUUAGCGGCGGACGGGUACGUAACACGUAGAUAACCUACCUCUAAGACAUACACAACUACGGGAAACCGAAGCUAAUACCGAUGCAUAUAUUUAACCGCAUGGUUCAAUAGUCAAAGAAGGUUUUGCUGUCGCUUAUAGAUGGCUCCGCGCCGCAUUAGCUAGUUGGUAAGGUAACGGCUUACCAAGGCAACGAUGCGUAGCCGACCUGAGAGGGUGAUCAGCCACACUGGAACUGAGACACGGUCCAGACUACUACGGGAGGCAGCAGUAGGGAAUCGUCCACUGUGGGCGGGAGCUUGGCGGAGCAACGCCGCGUGGGGGGUGAAGGUCUUCGGAUCGUAAAACUCUGUCGUUAUGGAAGAACAAAUGUGUAAGUAACUAUGCACGUCUUGACGGUACCUAAACAGAAAGCCACGGCUAACUACGUG
Molecule: ribosomal RNA, 497 nt
Filed under: uncultured bacterium
Lineage: Bacteria
Description: partial 16S ribosomal RNA
Rfam family: Bacterial small subunit ribosomal RNA
Source: RNAcentral